This is a long non-coding RNA of Passer domesticus (house sparrow), 517 nucleotides long. RefSeq lists it as uncharacterized. NCBI's taxonomy places the organism in Eukaryota, Metazoa, Chordata, Aves, Passeriformes, Passeridae. The record is from RefSeq and is a predicted model, not a curated record. The transcript has 3 exons.
GGUGUGAUCUGGCUUUCUUUGUGUGAUCUGCUGGGGUGUUUUUGUGUGAUCUGCUGCCCUUCAGCUCCAGAGCCAUCCAGGGGCACUGCUGCGAUCCCAGUGGGAAGGAGCAGCUUCCUUAUGGAAGAGCAGGACACAGGCCUCAUCCAGGUGCUGGGAGGGACGGAUCCAGCGAAGGAAGAAACCUGGCGGAGAAGGGGCUGGGGGUGAGCUCAGCCCUGUCCCGCAGGGAAAGGCACAGCAGCUGCCCCUGAGGCAGCCCAGCUGGGAGCUGGGGGUGGAUUUUGGGAGGAUCCCACUCACCCUGCCACAGCUGGAUGCUCUGGGGCUCCACGGAGGGCCAGAUCACCAAGGGGUUGUGCGAGUACAGAGGGUUCAGGAAGGUGCCGUAGGCCGAGGCGUAGGCGUUGUCGAAGAGGGUGAGCAGCAGCUGCUCCCCGAAUUCCAGCGAGAAGGGGAACUGCCGGCUCAGCUGCCACACGCAGUCGAGGAAGAGGAGGAAAACCGGCGCCUCCUG